CUGCUCCACUAAUGGGUCAUUCUCUUGUCUCUCUCUCUUCUCAGGCCUCCCUGUUCCCUGCAGCAUAGCAAUAUUAAAAUUAGGCCAAUGAAAAAACCUACAAUGACCUCUAAGUGGUUCAAGUCAAAGAAAGAGGUGCAUGCCUCUUUUCCUUUAAAUCAAAUCAAAAGCAGAACAGGAUUGAGCUUAGUGAGGAAGGCAUAUUGAAAGCCAAGAUGGGCCAAAAGCUAGGUUGCUUGUGCCAAAGAAUUAGCCAAGUUGUGAAUGCAAAGGAGAAAAGUUCUUGAAGGAAAUUAAAAGUGCUACUCCAGUGAACACAUGAAUGAUAAGAAAGCAAAACAGACUUCUUGAUGAUAUGAAGAAAAUUUGAGUGGGCUCGAUAGAAGAUCAAAGCAGCCACAACAUUCCCUUAAGCCAAAGCAUAAUCCAUAGCAGGACCCUAACUCUCUUCAAUUGCAAUGAAUGCUGAGAGAGGUGAGAAAGUUGCAGAAGAAAAGUUUGAAGCUAGCAGAGGUUGCUUCAUGAGGUUUUAAAAAGAAAGCUGUCUCUACAAUGUAAAAGUGGAAGGUGAAGCAGCAAGUGCUGAUGUAGAAGAUGCAGCAAGUUAUCCAGAAGACCUAGCUAACAUACUUGAUGAUGGUGGUUACACUAAACAAUAAAUUUUAAAUGGAGAUGAAACGUGUUAUGUUAGAAGAUACUAUUGAGAACUCUCAUAGCUAGACAAGAGAAGUCAAUGCCUAGCUUCACAGCUUCAAAGGACAGGCUGGCUCUCUUUGUUAGGGGUUAAUGCAGCUGGUGACUUUAAGUUGAAGCCAGUGCUCAUUUACCAUUCCAAAAAUCCUAGGGCCCUUCCAAAUUAUGUUAAAUCUAAUCUGCCUGUGUUCCAUAAAUUCAACAACAAAGCCUGGAUGACAGCAUAUCUGUUCGUAGCAUGGUUUACAGAAUGUUGAAGCCCUCUGUUGAGUCCUACUGCUCAGAGAAGCAGAUCACUGUCAAUGUAUUACCGCUCUAAUGGAGGUGUACAAGGAGACCAAUGUUGCUUUCAUGCCUGCUAACACAAUAUACAUUCUGCAGCCCAUGGAUCAAGGAGUAAUUUUCACUUUCAAGUCUGAUUAUUUAAGAAAUACAUUUUAUAAGGCUAUGGCUGCCAUAGAGAAUGAGCCCUCUGAUGAAUGUGGGCGAAGUAAAUUGAAAGCCUUAUUGAAAGGAUUUACCAUCCUAGAUGCCAUUAAGAACAUUCAUGAUUCAUAGGCAGAAGGGCAAAAUAGCAACAUUAACAGGAGCUUGGAAGAGGUUGAUUCCAAUUCUCAUGGAUGACUUUGAGGAGUUAAGACUUCAGUGGAGGAAGUGACUGUAGAUGUGGUGGAACUAGCAAGAGAACUAAAACUAGAAGUAGAGCCUGAAGAUAAAUGACUAAUUUGCUCAAAUCUCAUGACAAAACUUUAAUGGUUGAGAAAGAAAGUGGUUUCUUGAGAUGGAAUCUCCCCUGGUGAAGAUACUGUGAAAACUGUGGAAAUAACAACAAAUGAUUUAGAAUAUUACAUACACUUGGUUGAUAAAGCAGUGGCAGAGUUUGAGAGGAUUGACUCCCAUUUUGAAAGCAGUUCUACUGUAAAAGGUCAUUAAUUAGGAGAAGAUUUAUCUCAAGGAAACGUAUGAUCUGUGGGUAGUGUGGUCAAAGAUGACUUCUGCAGAUAAAAACAUCAUCUUGUAUGCAAGAGAUACGACCCUCUUUUAUAUAGUUGAACUGCAAAGACUACCUUACUGUUCACUCCCAGAAUGGCAAAAAGAUAGAUGAAGAUGGAGAAAUGUGCACCUAACACUGCAUCUUUAUGAGCAAAGGAUUUUCUUUGGAAAAACUGUGAUUAUAUGAAAAUCAUAGGACAUUUUAUUUGUGACUACAGGGCGUGGUGAAAACCUCUGCUACCAUACUGGAUACAAGGUCUUUAACUUCUCAGCACCAGUUUUAUGGAGCCCCCACCGCUAAGCAAGUAUGCAAAAUGCAGUGCUGCUUCGCAUUGGGAAAUCCCCAAUCUGGUGCCAAGAGGUUCAUAAAUACAGUAAUGGACCCUCUUAUGUCAAAAGUGAGUACUGUUUAACAGCGUAAGUUGGAACAGCCUUCAGGAUGCUUUGCAGCUGCAGUUGUUCCACUGCAAGACAUCACAAACUUCAUGAUGAUGGUUGUCACACCAGGUCCUGGAAAGGCAACCUACUUCAGUCUGCAAAGUGAACUAAAAGGGAAUGGUUGUUCAUACAUGGCCCUGAUGCCACUGACAUAAGAAACGCAAUGACAAGAGCGAUGAAGUAGGAAUUUGGUGGCAGAUGGUCAGGUCUGCAGGAAGUGUCCACCCAGCUUUGUUUGGCCCAUAUUCUGAAACAACUAGAAUAAACACUUAGUGUCAUAAUUUAUAAGCAUAUCAGUACCAAUAAAUCAGAAUCAUGCAAACAGUCAUGUUUAUUAUAUUCUUGUUGCUUAAUAUUCAUGACAGUAAUUUAUUUUUAUAGUACAGUUUUACUGUUCUCUCCACCAUUGCUCUCUGCAUUUAAGGCUGGCAAGUUGUACUAGCAGAAGUUCAGGUAACCCUUUGAAGACUGCAAAAUUCAUUAGCCUGGUCAAAAGACUUGAUUUGCUCAUUUAAUUUUUCCCUUUUUCUCUCAUAAACUUUUAAGCCACUGAGAUGAAAUUUCUGGAAACUAAGUAGUAAUAAUACUUCUUCGACAUGUAGAAAAUGUGAAUACU
Molecule: long non-coding RNA, 2740 nt
Filed under: Homo sapiens (human)
Lineage: Eukaryota; Metazoa; Chordata; Mammalia; Primates; Hominidae
Description: HSALNT0040732
Source: RNAcentral